CGUAACCAGAGAUUUCGGAGUCGCCGCGUGGACUCUGUGUACAGGCUUACAAAAAGCUGCCCUCUCGGCUGGACUCCCGCGCCAGUGGCCACCCGACGCAUUUUCUCCGUAUUCUUUGACGACAAAGACAAAAGAGGGGAACGCAAGACACAUUCCACGCCAUCGGCUCGCUUCCACCCAGCGCAAAACUUCGCGGGAUUCUGCAGUCAAGAGACCGCAAGAAGACACCCUCUUGCUGAAAAACGCAAAUCUUUCCUUUUCAACAGUUGCGUACGCCGCGUGUGUGUGUGUGUGAUUCCGAUUGAACCCGUGGCUUGUUUUUGUUUUCUCAAUUCUUUCGCAUAAAAAUUGGAAGACAAAGUAGCCUCCAGUGCGAGAAAGUCCGACCGGGUGUUAUCUGCAGUCGGGUUUCGUUAGCGUUAAGCUCUGAAAACGUCUGUUUUUCUUCGGAGAGAAGAAAGACUCUUUUAGCUGAGGUAGCGGAGAAAGAAAGAAAACAGAGAACCCAGAAGGCUGUCCGUUUUUUCAGCGGACUUGUCGAG
This 542-nucleotide long non-coding RNA is filed under the name Toxoplasma gondii VEG. The record is from RNAcentral. Lineage: Eukaryota; Apicomplexa; Conoidasida; Eucoccidiorida; Sarcocystidae.